GCCUGGACAUAGCAGUAAUUCCAGGACAAGACAGUUGGACAGCCCGCGGGGGUGGGGGUCAGGAGGAAUGGCUCCCCAGACUCCUGAACAGAGGAUGGUGACCCAAUCAGGGAACACGUCUCAACCCAACAUUGAAAGGACAAAGGCUUCCUCUUAAUUCUAUGGAUCAUGCAAUAGUCUUUCAAGAAAUUAUCUUCUGCUUAGCUAGUCACUUCCUGUUGCUAGAACCAUGAAGAGGCCUGGUGAAAGAUGUUCAGUAUACUACCUGCAUCAGCUGCUACUGCUAUGUGACAAGCAAAUUUUCCAGAAACACUGACAUGGAAACAGGAUCUUUCUUCUCCUACUGUUUGUUCCUCGACUACAGUUAUAAUCCUCUAUUUGUGACAUCAUAAUUAGUUGCCACUGGAGAAGACGAUCGUGUCACAAAAGGAUUAGGACCUAAGUCUUGGAGUCCAGCCACUAUGCUGUGGGGAAGCAAAGAAAGCUGUGGAGAGGCCACGUGGGGAGGAAUGCCAUCCUUAGCAUGGGCUGAGCUCCCAGGCAGCACCCAUCUCCAGACAUGCGAGUGAACAGGACUUCCGGCAAUUCCAGCCCCAGCCACUGAGUCACUUCCAGUUUCUCAGUGUUUCCAGGGGAGGCCUCAGACACUAUGGAGCAAAGAAAAUCUGACCCAGCUGUGCCCUGUCCAAAUUCCUGACCCAUAGAGAAUACAAGAGAGAAUAAAACGAUGUUGUUUAAACCAUUAAAUUUUGAAGAAAUUUGUUACACAGCAAUAGAUAACUGAAUACAGAGAGAGCUGUGAGAUAUCCCAUGUGGUUCCCCAGGUCCUUCUUUCCUGUAUGAGACAUACUUUCUGGCUGAGAGCAAUAAGAUGAGGUCUCUAAGUAAUGUUUGUGUUCAUCUUACACAGCAAGGAGUGUUUAUAUUAUGAGACAUCUCCAUUUUCUUCCAAGAUUGUUGCUGAGCUUAUGUGCCAUUUUCAAUUUUUAUGUGCCUCAUUUAUCCAUCGAUUCUACAUUUGUUUACCAUAAGCAGUUCUAGGCCAAGGAAAUCUUGCUAACAACAUUCCAUAAAUAAGGACUUUUCUUCUUGAAACUAUUUAUCAAGAGGUCAGUUAUCAGCAUAUUUACAAAUAAAUUAGACCAGGUCAUUUGUCCUCUUUCCCUACAAAUCCCCCUAGUGAUUGAGAGGAAAAUGGAUCAUAGGCCAGAUGUUUGAACCCGCUCCACCUCCUCUCCUCCUUCAUUCCAUUUUCAGCAAUCUCCACUGAUGGAGGCAAGAUGGCUGCCAUGGGCACCAGUCCCACAAUCUAUCUCUUAGUAGACCACUGAGGAAAGAGGAUGCCUCUCUCUCAUUCUUCCAGAAAAGGCCCCAGUGUAGCUCUGAUGGCUCUGAUUGACCUUUAGAACUGGUUCUACUUAAUCAGUUCUACUUAAACUACAUGGAUUAAGAAAAAUUAGGAUGUUAUAAGAAGGGAGAAUAAAUGUUGGAUUUGAAAAAAUAAAAUUAAUAGCUGACAGAUAUAUGUAUAUAUAGGUGGGUAUAUAUA
Molecule: long non-coding RNA, 1549 nt
Filed under: Homo sapiens (human)
Lineage: Eukaryota; Metazoa; Chordata; Mammalia; Primates; Hominidae
Description: HSALNT0373043
Source: RNAcentral